Molecule: ribosomal RNA, 752 nt
Filed under: uncultured Methanomicrobiales archaeon
Lineage: Archaea; Methanobacteriati; Methanobacteriota; Methanomicrobia; Methanomicrobiales
Description: bacterial SSU rRNA
Rfam family: Archaeal small subunit ribosomal RNA
Source: RNAcentral
GGAUAAUCUGCCCUCAGGUGAGGAAUAAUCCCGGGAAACUGGGGCUAAUACCUCAUAGGAGACAGGUGCUGGAAUGCUCUGUCUCCGAAAGGUCUGCCGCCUGAGGAUGAGUCUGCGUCCGAUUAGGUAGUUGUUGGGGUAACGGCCCAACAAGCCAUUGAUCGGUACGGGUUGUGGGAGCAAGAGCCCGGAGAUGGAUUCUGAGACAUGAAUCCAGGCCCUACGGGGCGCAGCAGGCGCGAAAACUUUACAAUGCGAGCAAUCGUGAUAAGGAAACCCUGAGUGCCUGUCAAUGCAGGCUGUUCUGGUGUCUAACACACACCAGGAGAAAGGGCGGGGCAAGACCGGUGCCAGCCGCCGCGGUAAUACCGGCUGCUCGAGUGAUAGCCGCUUUUACUGGGCUUAAAGCGUUCGUAGCUUGGUCGUUAAGUCUCUGGGGAAAUCUUUUGGCUUAACCAAAAGGCGUCUCAGGGAAACUGGCGAUCUUGGAACCGGGAGAGGUAAGACGUACUUCGGGGGUAGGAGUGAAAUCUUGUAAUCCCCGAGGGACGACCGAUGGCGAAGGCAUCUUACCAGAACGGCUUCGACAGUGAGGGACGAAAGCUGGGGGAGCAAACCGGAUUAGAUACCCGGGUAGUCCCAGCCGUAAACGAUGUGCGUUAGGUGUGUCAGUGACCACGAGUCGCUGAGGUGCCGAAGGGAAACCGUGAAACGCACCGCCUGGGAAGUACGGUCGCAAGGCUGAAACUUAA